GAUGUUGAUGACGUGGGUAGAUGUUGACGACGUGGGCAGAAGUCUGGUUGCAGUUUGUAUAUGAGCCAGGCUUCUUUGUUUCAGACAAAGAUUUGUGGCACCGUUGCCUUAUCCUCUAUAUUUGUGUUGCCUAUGUACUUGCAUCUCAUAUAAUCCUUUAUAAUACGAGAGCAACAGAGAAGAUCAGAUAAUUGCUAAACAAGGAAUCGGAGAAAGUCACCUAUGGGAUAACGGCAAAAUAAAAGGAAACUAGUUGAAACCAAGAAAGCAUCUUGUUUGUAUAGGUUAUAGUUUCUAAUUCUAAAAUUGGUUCCUUAUUUACCCUUUGAUUUUUUGUGUGUUUGUUGCUAUACCAGUAAAUGGAUGUUCUUGAGGAUUUUGUAUGAGAUUGUAAUCAGGAGUCUAGAGGAGUUUGUACGAGAUUGUGAUCCGGCUCUUCAUAUUUCUCCAAGGAAUGUAUGGUUUUCAGUGGACAGAGUCAUCCCCUCACAGUAGGUCAAUUAUAGUUUCAACACGCUUUAGUAUCAUGUUACAUGUUUCUCGGUGAGUUUCUUCCUCUGCCUAUUUGGGGCCAUUUAUCUUGGAUUGUUAGCUGUCAUUUUUCAUGGUUCCAUGAUAUGGAGAGGUACAAGGGUUUUAAGUACCCAUUUUGUUAAUUUCUCUCCUCUCUCGGAGUUUUUUGAUGCCGUCCUAUUCUUUAAUUAUCUGUCAGCAAAGAUUCUAACCUGACUUUUAUCCUUCUUUGAUACGGAAAAGUGUAAGGGUUUAUAAGUACCAUUAUAUUAAUUUGUAUCUGGAUCUCCUCUCUCUCUGUGGGUGUUUUGAUGCUUCCUAAUUCUUUGAUUAUCUGUCAGCAAAUUUUCUGACCUGUGGCUUUUUAUGCUUCCUUGAUGUGGAAAAGUACAAGGGUUUAUGAUAGAAGUAUAUAUGGCCAGAAAUAUAUAUAGAUGGAUGGAUUAGAUCUAGAACAGGAAAUACUGAUUACUGUGAUUAGUAUUGACAUUGGAAAUAAACCCUAGCAAUUUGAGGAGUUAGGAGCCUCCCAUUCUUUUACAGUCCAAAUACUCGAUACUCAAAACCCUGCUUACAAAAAACCUUAAAAACCCAAAAGAGACAAUGAGGCAGGGAAAGAUAAACCAUUAUAUUAAUUUAUCUCUCCUCUCUCUCUCUCUCUCUCUCUGUGUGUUUUGAUUCCCCCUUAUUAUUUUACUAUCUGUUAGCAAAAUUUCUAACAUGUGGUUUUAAUGGUUUUAUUGAAAAUCAUAUGGGUUUAUAAAUACCAUAAUAUUAAUUUCUCCUCUCUCUUACAAUCUGUGUUUUGUUGCCUCUUUAUUCUUUAAUUAUCUGAUGCUUCGUUUUCUGAUUUUCCGCAUUUUUUCCCUAGUUAUUUGUUUCAAUGGUUAUAUCAAUUGAAUUUUUAGUCAUUAAAAGUUUCUUUAUGAAGGAUAUAUGUAAGGCUAAUGUUUUUCUUUGAGGAACUAAAAAGGAUGACGUCAAUGACUUGGAACAUUUCUAAGGAUGCUAAGGUCUCAUUUGCGGGAAAAGACGGGAGACAGUGAACUGAUAUAAAUUGUUCACAAAUGUCUGAAAAUUAGCAAUAAAACAUUUCCAUGUAACAACAACUUGACAUUUCUUGGGGAGAUGUUGCUUGGUCAAUUCACUGGUAUGUUCUCUUCAGGUUACUUUUGUUUUUUUUUUUUGUGUGUUUUAUCUCAUACGAUAAUGGACAAUCAUAGUGUCUGUUUUGCUUAAAUGAAGAGUUCAAAUCUUUUCGGCUUCAAAACCUUCAAACCAGUAGUUCUUUCUCUUUUCACUCGACUGUUCUGUGUCCUCGUUUUCAAAAGGUCCAAACUUCACUACUUCUUUUAUAUAAACGGUGUUUAACUUGUAGAUAUGAUGUUUGCCCCUGAUGAUGAUCCUGUCCGAAAACAUAUGAAGCACAUAUACAUUAUAACAAUUAACAAUCAUUUGGGUGUAAAUUUUUGUUUUAUACUUGUGCAUCUUAGAGCUUGGAUCUUUUUAUAUCUCUGGUUCAUAAUCAUGUAACUUACUAACCAUUUUCGUCGUUCUUUGGUGCUGCUACUUUGUUCGAGUGUCCUCGUCCCCUUAGCUUAGAUUGCAUACUUCUCUCUCCCCUCCUAUUUUUUUUUUUUUUCUCAUAGCCAUCAACUUACUGUAUGAAACCCUCUUCAUGGUGUCAACUUAGGGAUGGAUGUCAUUUUACACCUUGAUAGUAAUAGAACUUUUGCGGUAUCAGAAAUCGGAGUUUAUUAUGUCUGCUUUAGUAUUUCUGCACUUUUUAAGCCAUUUCUGGGGUGCUGUGGUAAAACAACUUCUUUUCUACUGGAGAGGAGAGACCUUUUGCUUUUCAAGUCCGCCAUGGCAUGCUGUAUUUUUCUAUUAAAAAAAUGUUUAAAAAAUUGA
Long non-coding RNA from Tripterygium wilfordii, 2424 nucleotides. RefSeq lists it as uncharacterized. The record is from RefSeq and is a predicted model, not a curated record. Lineage: Eukaryota; Viridiplantae; Streptophyta; Magnoliopsida; Celastrales; Celastraceae. The transcript has 4 exons.